GACGAACGCUGGCGGCGUGCUUAACAUAUGCAGGUCGAACGGAAAGGCCCUGCUUUUGUGGGGUGCUCGAGUGGCGAACGGGUGAGUAACACGUGAGUAACCUGCCCUUGACUUUGGGAUAACUUCAGGAAACUGGGGCUAAUACCGGAUAGGAGCUCCUGCUGCAUGGUGGGGGUUGGAAAGUUUCGGCGGUUGGGGAUGGACUCGCGGCUUAUCAGCUUGUUGGUGGGGUAGUGGCUUACCAAGGCUUUGACGGGUAGCCGGCCUGAGAGGGUGACCGGCCACAUUGGGACUGAGAUACGGCCCAGACUCCUACGGGAGGCAGCAGUGGGGAAUAUUGCACAAUGGGCGGAAGCCUGAUGCAGCAACGCCGCGUGCGGGAUGACGGCCUUCGGGUUGUAAACCGCUUUCGCCUGUGACGAAGCGUGAGUGACGGUAAUGGGUAAAGAAGCACCGGCUAACUACGUG
Molecule: ribosomal RNA, 468 nt
Filed under: uncultured bacterium
Lineage: Bacteria
Description: partial 16S ribosomal RNA
Rfam family: Bacterial small subunit ribosomal RNA
Source: RNAcentral